Long non-coding RNA from Betta splendens (Siamese fighting fish), 391 nucleotides. RefSeq lists it as uncharacterized. The record is from RefSeq and is a predicted model, not a curated record. The transcript is spliced from 3 exons. Lineage: Eukaryota; Metazoa; Chordata; Actinopteri; Anabantiformes; Osphronemidae.
ACAAAAGGGGCAGCAGUGUGCCCCGGACCCCCCAGGGUGGCUUUUGUUCUGUGUGUGUCACUACGGUGGUUUGAAGUGCGUCUUGAUCUCAGCGGGAACCGUCUGAACGUAGUUUUCAUGUGUCCAGUGUCUGGAUCUGUAGCUUCAGCUGCUCACUAGUCCUCAACAGCGUAAAUAACGGCAGCCUGGCUCAUGUCUUCAGCGGCGUGCAUGUGCGUCAGCCUCAGACACUUUAUGUGCAAUCUCUAAAAUAGCACUAGGGGGCGCAGUGACUGUGGUCUGUAACCCCAGAGCACCGCAGGGGGUCUACAGCCCCUCUGGACGUUUGCUUUACCUGUGGCUGCUGAGGGAUGUUAAAUCCAGGGUCUCUGGGUCCGACGCUAACGAAGCG